GCAUGAAAUUGCAGGGGAAGUGACAGAAGUUGGUAGCAAAGUAAGAAAGGUUAAAGUGGGAGAUAAAGUUGGAGUUGGAUGCAUGGUUGGUGCAUGCCACAGCUGCGAGAGCUGUGCCAAUGACCUUGAAAAUUACUGUCCGAAAAUGAUACUCACCUACAGUUCCAUUAACACUGACGGAACAAUCACAUUCGGAGGCUACUCUGAUCACAUGGUUGCCAAUGAGCGCUACAUUGUUCGAUUCCCUGAUAGCAUGCCCCUUGAUGCUGCUGCUCCUCUGCUUUGCGCCGGGAUUACCGUGUACAGUCCAUUGAAAUACUUUGGACUAGCAGAACAAGGAAAGCAUGUAGGCAUCGUUGGCCUUGGCGGGCUUGGUCAUGUCGCUGUCAAAUUUGCCAAGGCUUUUGGGGCCAAAGUGACAGUAAUUAGCACCUCUCCAAGCAAGAAGACUGAAGCUCUUGAACAUCUUGGCGCUGAUUCAUUUUUGAAUAGCCGUGACCCUGACCAAUUGCAGGUAAUUUAAUUAGAUUCACGCAUAUAUUGGAGAAAAAUAAAAAAUAAAAUGCAUUCCUUAAUUUUAAUAUAUAUUUUGUAAUAACUUCAUCAGGGUGCCAUGGGCACAUUGGAUGGUAUUAUUGACACGGUGUCCGCUGUGCACCCCAUUUUGCCAUUGCUCGGUCUAUUAAAGUCCCAGGGCAAGCUUGUUCUGGUUGGUGCUCCGGACAAGCCACUCGAGCUACCUGUGAUUUCCUUAAUUAUGGGUAAGUUCUAACAAAAUUCUUCGGAAACUUGUGGUCUAAAACUUGUAAUUAAUAUAAUUCAUUUGAUAACAUAAAAUGACAUAGCAGGGAGGAAGACGGUGUCAGGGAGCAGCACUGGGGGAAUGAAAGAGACGCAAGAGAUGAUUGAUUUUGCAGCAAAACACAAUAUAACAGCUGACAUUGAGGUUAUUUCGAUGGAUUAUGUCAAUACGGCAAUGGAGCGGCUCGCCAAGGCUGAUGUUCGGUAUCGAUUUGUCAUUGAUAUUGCAAACACCUUGGCCGCCACCAAACCUUGAAGAAUCAGAAUCAGAAUCAGAUUGGUGUCUUCAAUUCACAACUUUGUUCCAUGAUCCACUUUGCUAUAUGUAAUGCUCCCUCGAUCAUUACACUCUUUUAGCGCUUAAAUUACUUUUAAUUUCCAGUUACAUCACCCUAAUUAUGUCGUGAUUGCCAAAAAACUAUAAAUGUUAAUGAAAUAAAACAUUGUUCAUAUAAAAUAUUUAGCAUAUGUACCUUUCACCAAUUGUCCAGUUGAAAAGUUUGUUUUGUUCUAAAUCACAUAUAGAGUUUUGCUCUCAUGCGGCACUUUUCAUUUUUUUUUUCUUCUCGUACCAACACUAUCAAGUCGUAUAAUUCAAUAAAAUUAGUAUAGAUGGCAGAAAUCUAUAAAAUCAUAUUUGCAAAGGUAUGUAGCAACAGCAGCGUCUAGGUUCCUCUGACCUUGAACAAAAAUAUACGAUUGUCCUAAAUGGCUCAUGAAUUCAUAUCACAAUUUUCAACGCUGCAUAUAUGUUUUCCAACAGAAAAUUUCUCUGGAUUAGGGUUUAGUGUUAUGUUAAAUUUUUAUCGAGUAUUGAAUCAAUCAUUGAAUUAAUAGUUAAAAUUGUUUUAAAUUUUUAAAUUUUUACAAUUUCUCCUAUUAAUAACUAUUGAUUCAAUAUCCAGUAAAAAUUUAAUUUAGCACGUAAUCCUUAUUCGACUUUGCAACCAAAGAAAACAAACAAAACUUCAUCGGUCAAUGGAAGCAUUUUCUUAGGACCUCACGGUUCACCCCCAAUGUUGAUGCAUGAUGGAUGAUUCUAUCAAGAUGAAUAUAGUUCAAGUUUUACCACCCCAUCAAAUCUAUCAUGAAAUUUCAUUUAUUCUUUUUUUUUUUUGUAGAUCUUAAUAUGUACUAUGAUUGAAAAAGAGAGAGAGAGAGAGAAUAGUAAAAUCCAUAUCUAAAAUGGUAUGUGGUAUGUAUAUAGUAGUACAUGAUCUAUAAUGGUAUGUAUAUGAUGUACAUGAUAUGAUCUAAGCUCUGCUUGUGCUACCUAUAUUUUAGUGUUAGUAUAUAAUUAGAAUUUAACUACCUUUAUUUUUUAAUUUGUUAAUUACCAAUCACUUUAAUAAAAUAUAAAACUUACUAGGGGUGGUAAUAUGGGUCAGGAUUCGUUUAUUCGAUUCGAUUCGAUGCGAAUUAAAUGGGUUUGGGUUUGAAAAAAAUUGAUUCGUUUAAUAAAUGGAUGAAUUCGAUUUGAUUCGUUAAUUAAACGAAUCGAAUGCGGGUUUGAAAAUUUACAUUCGUUUAUUCGUUUAGAAUUCAUUUAAUAAAUGGGUCAUAAACGAAUCGAAUACAGGUCGAUUCGUUUAUUAUUCGUUUAAUUAAAUUACUUUUUUAUCCUUAAAUUUAUUUGAAAGCUUUUUAAAAUUUGAAGGUUAAUAUUGUAAUUUUAAGCAAAUAACAAAAAAAAAAAAAACCAAAGUAGCGGAAACCCAAAUGCUAAAUCCCUAAAAAUUCUCCCCUCACUCAGCCGCUCUCGUUGCUCUAUGCCUCUCUCACACGAAUCACACUCACCCACCCAUACCAAGUGAAGCAAUCAAGCAACAAAAACAACCGCCGGUAGCCACUGUCAUUAACUCACAGGGAACUGACGAUUACAACCACCAUCGUUCAUCUAUCGUCGAUUGAGCUUGAGGGACGCAGCCACGCGAGUGCAGCCCGCGACUCGGCAGCAACCCAGGAGCAUCAGCUGCGCAACGUAUUAGCAGCCACUCGAACCCACAGUAGUGGCUAACCCGUGCGGCGGUGCAGCAGCAGCAAACCCAGGCGACUGCGACCCGAACUAGUGCCCAGGCGACCCGAAUCAACAAGCCAUCACCAACUCAGAGUAAUAUCAUGAGAUUAUGGUUGAAUUAUUGAGAAAUUUUGUAUUGUAGAAUAUUAUGAGAUUAUGGUUUAGAAAAUGUUUGGGAAAUUUACAAAAUUAGCCAUAAAACUUUUACGUUUUUCAACUUUAACCCCCCAAAGUUUUUUCUAUCAUAACUAGCCAAACACCUUAUGUUUGGACUACAUUACCCUCAUCACUUUCAUCAAAUUUACAAAGCCAUGCCACUUUUUCAAAUUUACAAAGCCAUGGCACCUGUUCCAUUGCUUGUCGCGCAAAAACCCAUGGAUUUUAUGGAGUACAUGAUUUUGGAUUUGAUUUGUCUCGUCGUAAGCUUCGAAACGGUAUAUUAUACGCCUAAAACGAACAUAUAUAGCUCAAGUUAUGGCUUUCGAAACAUAUAUGAAAUUUAGUGAGACAGGCAAGUGGGACAGGUGCUUGUCGCACAUAAACGCACUGCAUUUAUGUGCGAUAGGCACCUGUCCCACUGCUUGUCGCACAUAAACUCACGGCGUUUAUGGAAUGCAUGAUUUUGGAUUUGAUUUGUCUCGUCGUAAGCUUCGAAACGGUAUAUUAUACGCCUAAAACGGACAUAUAUAGCUCAAGUUAUGGCUUUCGAAACAUAUAUGAAAUUUAGUGAGACAGGCACCUGUCCCACUUGCCUGUCUCACUAAAUUUCAUAUAUGUUUCGAAAGCCAUAACUUGAGCUAUAUAUGUCCGUUUUAGGCGUAUAAUAUACCGUUUCGAAGCUUACGACGAGACAAAUCAAAUCCAAAAUCAUGCAUUCCAUAAACGUCGUGAGUUUAUGUGCGACAAGCAGUGGGACAGGUGCCUAUCGCACAUAAAUGCAGUGCGUUUAUGUGCGACAGGCACCUGUCCCACUUGCCUGUCUCACUAAAUUUCAUAUAUGUUUCGAAAGCCAUAACUUGAGCUAUAUAUGUUCGUUUUAGGCGUAUAAUAUACCGUUUCGAAGCUUACGACGAGACAAAUCAAAUCCAAAAUCAUGUACUCCAUAAAAUCCAUGGGUUUAUGCGCGACAAGCAAUGGAACAGGUGCCAUGGCUUUGUAAAUUUGAAAAAGUGGCAUGGCUUUGUAAAUUUGAUGAAAGUGAUGAGGGUAAUGUAGUCCAAACAUAAGGUGUUUGGCUAGUUAUGAUAGAAAAAACUUUGGGGGGUUAAAGUUGAAAAACGUAAAAGUUUUAUGGCUAAUUUUGUAAAUUUCCCAAAAUGUUUUGUAUUGUUCGGAAAAUAUUAUGAAAUUAUGUAUAAAUCGAUUAUGGUGUUAAAAAUUAUCUGUAGGAUAAGGAAGAAGCUCCCACAAAUAUUGGAUUAAAAUUUUUUUUAGUAUUAGAAUUUAUAAUUUAUUAUGUUGUAUUGUUAAUAUUUUGUGUAUUGGAAUAUUGUGCAUUAGGAAUAUUGCCGGGUUAGAAUUUGGCAUACAUGAUGAAUAGAUUCGUGGUCUUGGUAAUGGUGCUUGAAAGUGAUUAUGUAUGUUAAUUUCUCUGUUAGACUUUUUCUUUGAUUUAUUAGUUUAUGAACAUGAGCACUAAUUGUGCUCCAUCUGUAGAGAGUGCAAAUGAUCCAAAUGACAGUGUUAGGUAAGGUUUUUAUCUUGUUUAAUUAUUAUUUCCUUGAAAAUGCUACAAAUUUGCUAUAUAUUUGAUUUUUGAAAUUUUACAAUGACUAUUAUCAAUAUUGGAGCAUGUUAAUAACAUUUUAUUUAUUUUUUCGUGUAGGAUUUUUGUUUUCAAGGUGACAAAGACAAAUGAAAAGAAUUAAAGAAAUUACAUUUCUUUAUAAUUUCAAUUUGAAUUAUUGUUAUUUGUAAUAUUAAGGAUUUGGUAUUUGUUAUUUGGAUGACUGUAUAAUAUGAUUUGAAUUAUUUGUAUUUUGUUGUGGGAUAUUAAAUUUGUGUUUUUUUUGCUUAAUUUUGUUUAUUAAUUAUAUUUUUCUAAACGAAUUGUAAACGAAUCCUGAUUCGAUUCGAUUCGUUAUGGAUUCGUAAAGGAUAAACGAAUAAUAAACGAAUCCGGAUUCGAUUCGAUUCGUUUAUCAAUUCUAUUAAACGAAUUAAACGAAUUGAACCGAAUAUUCGUUUAAUAAACGAAUCGAAUCCGAAUCUUGAAAUUUCAAUUCUUUUAAUAAACGAAUCGAAUUCGAAUCCAUAGAAUUUUGACCCAAUUCAUUUACGAUUCGAUUCGAAUUCGAUUCGUUUAUUCGUUUUGCCACCCCUAAAACUUACUCAAAAGAAAAUCAUAUUAAGAGAGAAUCAUGAUCCAAUUAGAAGAGUAUGUUUCUUACAUUUCAUAAAUAUUUUUGAACAUCUUUUAAAAUUGUCGGUUCAUUUUAAGGUAAAAUUUCUAACUUUUUGUGGAUGAGUUUUCAUGACUAAUUUGCAUGCAUAUAUAUCUUAAUAAUAUUAAUCAAAUUGAUACGGUGUUCCAUUUGUUUGGAUGGUUAAGAAAAUCUAAGUUUCAGCACAAAUGAUCAUUGGGCUACAAAUCCAACGAUAGACUGGUACUCUCAAUUUAUUCUGCUACCAGAAGAUAGGCCGUCCAUGUGUACACUAUGAAAUGUAAUAUUUUUAUCAUAUUUAGGAGGAUAAACGUCUUAUUAUUUAAGAUAAUAAUUGUUAAUGUGUACAUUAUAAAUACUCAGCAUCUGGUUAUUCUAGAAGGCUCUUUGAUAGGAUUCUAUUGGUAUUUGAAAAAAAAUAUCAAUAUUCUCCCAGUUUAAUUAAUUUUUUUCCAAGAUGUUUAAUAAAUAAAUUUUAAGUAUAAAAAAAUAUUAAUAUUCUCCCAGUUUAAAAAAAUUCACAAAAAUAUUUUUUAUUUUUAAAAAUAAUUACACAAAUUUAUUUUUAUCUUUAUUUAAUUUGAAUUUAACUGCAAGAUUUUUAAAAAUUCAAAAGAAUUUAAAUUAAGAUAAGGUCUUAUCUUUUUAAAAAUAUAUAAAUUUAAUUUUUUAUUGAACAAUAGUUAUACAAUACCUUAUGAUAUUCUUUAUGUUAAAAAGUAAAAAAACAACAAAAUUCACAUUAGCCUUUAAAAUUUAUCAAAAAAAAUAUUUGUAAUUAUUUUUUAAAAAAAAUCAAAUUUUUGUGAUCAUUAAUUCCACCGAAUCAGCGCGCUGGGUUCUCAUUUUGCCGUAAGUCUCAUAAUGGUUGUUCGUGGUGUUGCUUUUGACAGGUAUCCACCUUUGAGUUUGCGACACUAGGAAUUGAAUAAUAAUAAUAAUAAUAAUGGUGAAGCUGACCCAAGAAGUAUCUCGCUGGUCCGCCAUGUCAUUGACGGUGGACAUCCCAUACAUAGCGCAUCCGUAUGUCACAUGUUAGCUCACUGAUUACUUCAGCAAAAUUUAUGACCCCCUCUCUCCACCUCCCUGCUGUCAGCCUGUUCCCGAUAAUUAUUAUUUUUGAGAUGCUCGAAAAUAAUUUUAAAGUUAAAAACUGAUUUUUUUUAUAUAUUAGGAAAAUUUAAAUUUAUUCAUAUUAAUUAUAAAAUAAAAUUAUUUUGAAGAGAUUAUUAUCAUUAUCAAUAAUAUUGAGAUAAAAAAUUAUUAUAUAUAUUAUGUUUAUUAAUAAUUAUUAUAUAUACACAAUAAAAAAUAUUAUACAUAUAUUAAAUAAAUUUUAUUUAAUAUUAUAUCUAAUUUAGAAAUUAUUAAAAUUUUAAUUUAUUCUUUUUUUCAAUAAAUUAUUUCUACAUCACAUCUAAUAAUAAUUAUUUUAAAAAUUAUAAUAUUAUCUAAUUAGUCUUCAUUAUAUAUAAUUUUUCUCGAUUAUGACAUCUUCACUUUAUUAAGGUGAAGAUAUUAACAAAAUAUAAAAAAAAAACACCGACUUUAAUGUAUUAAAAAAUUAAAAUUAUAUUUUUUUAUCCGUUAAUAACUUAAUAUAUUGAAAUCAUCACUAAAUCAGUUGUUAAAUCCAUAAUUACACAGUUACGUUAGCUAUAUCGGACUGCUGAAAGUAAAUGCGGUACCAUAUUAUAGUUGCAACAUAACUGAACCUCACUAAACAAUGAAUAUAUUAUAAAAUAAAAUAUAUUAUAUUAAAUUUUGUAUUUAUAUUUUUUAAUUUAUCUUCUCUUUAAUAUAAUAAAAAAUCUUGAUUAGAAACAUCUGUACACACAUUAACAUUCAUAUGAAGCAUAAACAAAAACUGGUACUUUUACUCGUCUCAUCACAUCAUUCAAACCACUAUAAUAAUGAUAACAUUGCCGUUCUCUCAUCCAAAAUGGCAAAAUCACCAGAAGAAGAACAUCCAGUAAAGGCCUUUGGGUGGGCAGCCCGAGACAGCUCCGGCCAUCUCUCCCCAUUCAACUUCUCCAGAAGGUAAUUAAUAGUUGAGCAUAAUAUAUAUGUGUGAUGCUGCUUUAAAUUUAUUUAAAAUUUUGUUACUGUACGUGUUGAUGAAAUGGUCAUAAACGUGGAUAUGUAAAAUACGGACAGGGAAACGGGUGAUGAGGAUGUGAGGCUGAAGGUAUUGUAUUGUGGGAUCUGCCAUACUGAUCUCCACAACAUCAAGAAUGAAUGGGGCUUCUCUCUCUUCCCUAUGGUUCCUGGGUAUGUACCCAUGAUCUAUCUACCCUUCAAUUUUUGUUUCUUUUGCAUUUUUUUUUGCAUUUGUUUUUGUUUCGGGUCAAACCCAGCUACGCAUGAACAGGCUGUUGUUUCCGUCACGGCGCUCCCUAAUUAUUAACUACGGUACUUGCCUGUGUAUACAGAAAGAGAUUAACCAAGGCCAAGGCUUUGGGAUCUUUUAAUUUGAUACAAAUCGUCCCCAAUCCUAUUUAAUUCUAUCUUAUAUAGAGGUGCUAGUGAAAUAUUGGUAACGAGGGUUUUAAUCUUACCGUUCCAUAUUUGAUGUGAUGAAUAACUGGAAUCUCCUGUUAAAAGUGGCAAACAUAUAUAUUUACGGGUCAUCAUCGUUUAAUAAGAUUUUCUUACAACAAAUUAAACAAAAAUAGAGACACACAAAUUUUAAUGUAAUAUAAAAUAAAAUAUAUUGGAUGAAAAUAUGUAUUUUUCUUAUACAUUAUCUUCAUAACUCUUGGUAGAUUUAUACUCUCUAUCUUAUAAAUAAAGGGUGGAAAUAACAAUUAACUCAAUUAAAGCGUUGUUAGCAUAGAUAUCUUUUUUUUUUCCCAAUAAAAUUAAUUUAUUUCCAUUUGACUCUGUACAAUUUUUAAAUAUUCCAGUGUAGUGGCCAGUGGGGUGCCUUGGCAUCAUUAGAGUGUUGAGAUCACACUAAAGACUUAACCCAUCAAAAUGGUACACCUGUGUAAUUGCGGAAUGGUCAAUUAUGAGAUUUUACUUGAGGGAUAGACGAGGUUGACAAAUAAACGGAGACAUGACUUGUAACUUGAAUUUGCAUUCAAAUGAAGACUUGUAAAUUUUCAAAUUUCAAAUUUCUUUGCUUGAAGAAUUUUAUGAUUGAGAAACUUACUGACAAAAGAAAAGUUGGUGGAGUGGUGUAGUAUAUACGUUUCCAGAAGCUAGCUAGUUAUAUAUUGUCAAAAACAGAAUCAAAUACCUUGUUUCCACUAAAGUAAUUUAUCAUAAACAAAUUGUAUUUAUUUGCAGGCAUGAAAUUGCAGGGGAAGUGACAGAAGUUGGUAGCAAAGUAAGAAAGGUUAAAGUGGGAGAUAAAGUUGGAGUUGGAUGCAUGGUUGGUGCAUGCCACAGCUGCGAGAGCUGUGCCAAUGACCUUGAAAAUUACUGUCCGAAAGUGAUACCCACCUACACUUCCAUUAACACUGACGGAACAAUCACAUACGGAGGCUACUCUGAUCACAUGGUUGCCAAUGAGCGCUACAUUGUUCGAUUCCCUGAUAGCAUGCCCCUUGAUGCUGCUGCUCCCCUGCUUUGCGCCGGGAUUACCGUGUACAGUCCAUUGAAAUACUUUGAACUAGCAGAACAAGGAAAGCAUGUAGGCAUCGUUGGCCUUGGCGGGCUUGGUCAUGUCGCUGUCAAAUUUGCCAAGGCUUUUGGGGCCAAAGUGACAGUAAUUAGCACCUCUCCAAGCAAGAAGACUGAAGCUCUUGAACAUCUUGGCGCUGAUUCAUUUUUGAAUAGCCGUGACCCUGACCAAUUGCAGGUAAUUUAAUUAGAUUCACGCAUAUAUUGGAGAAAAAUAAAAAAUAAAAUGCAUUCCUUAAUUUUAAUAUAUAUUUUGUAAUAACUUCAUCAGGGUGCCAUGGGCACAUUGGAUGGUAUUAUUGACACGGUGUCCGCUGUGCACCCCAUUUUGCCAUUGCUCGGUCUAUUAAAGUCCAAGGGCAAGCUUGUUCUGGUUGGUGUUCCGGACAAGCCACUCGAGCUACCUGUGAUUUCCUUAAUUAUGGGUAAGUUCUAACAAAAUUCUUCGGAAACUUGUGGUCUAAAACUUGUAAUUAAUAUAAGUCAUUUGAUAACAUAAAAUGACAUAGCAGGGAGGAAGACGGUGUCAGGGAGCAGCAUUGGGGGAAUGAAAGAGACGCAAGAGAUGAUUGAUUUUGCAGCAAAACACAAUAUAACAGCUGACAUUGAGGUUAUUUCGAUGGAUUAUGUCAAUACGGCAAUGGAGCGGCUUGCCAAGGCUGAUGUUCGGUAUCGAUUUGUCAUUGAUAUUGCAAACACCUUGGCUGCCACCAAACCUUGAAGAAUCAGAAUCAGAAUCAGAUUGGUGUCUUCAAUUCACAACUUUGUUCCAUGAUCCACUUUGCUAUAUGUAAUGCUCCCUCGAUCAUUACACUCUUUUAGCGCUUAAAUUACUUUUAAUUUUCAGAUACAUCGACCCUAAUUAUGUCGUGAUUGCCAAAAAAGUAUAAGGGUGCGUUUGGCACACUGUAUUAUAUUAUGUUGUAUUGUAUUAUUUUUAUGCUGGUGUGUUGCAUUAGUACUGUAUUAUAAUAAUAUUGUACAAUAUUUGGUGUUGUAUUGUAUUGUAUUAAUUUUUAAUUAUACUAUAUUUGGUGUUGUAAUGUACUAUAUUAAUUUUUUGUGAUUAAUUUAUAUUAUAUAUUUAUAAAAAUAACAUUUAUUAGUACUUAAAAAAAUAAAUAUAGAGGUCUUAAAUUUUAGAAAUUUAAUUACAAAAUGGAUUGGGUUAAUAUUUUAUGUUAUUAUUAAUUUUAGAUUAAUAUUAUUGAAAUUCAUUCGUAUUUAAAUAUUUAUUAUUUGUUAUAUUAUAUUAUUUAAAAAUAUUAAAUUUUAUAUAUUAAUAUUACAAUAAUUAAAUAGUGUAAUAUUAUAUUAUUUUUAUAUACUUUUAAGUAUUUAUUAUUAAUCAUAUCAAAUUAUAAAUUUAUUAAUAAAUUAUGAUGUAAAAAUAAAAAUUAUAUUAUAUUAUAUUAUAAAUUAAAAAUUAUAUAUUUAUCCAUUUUUAUUAUUAUUAAGUAAAACUAAAAGUUUAAGUUUAAAAAAAAAAAACAAGCUAAUGCGGGAGUUCCCGCAUUAGUGCGCCUCCCGAUGCCCAAUUCCAAUGAGGCUCAACUGCUCCCAAACAUGUUAUUGGUUUAAAUUAAUGCUGAGCCCACAAUUAAUCAUAUGCAAUACCACACACCAAACACACCCUAAAUGUUAAUGAAAUAAAAUAUUGUUCAUAUAAAAUAUUUAGCAUAUGUACCUUUCACCAAUUGUCCAAUCGAAAAGUUUGUUUUGUUCUAAAUCACAUAUAGAGUUUUUCUUUCAUGCGGCACUUUUCAUUUUUUUUUUUCUAAUCCAAACACUAUCAAGUCAUAUAAUUUAAUAAAAUUAGUAUAGAUGGCAGAAAUCUAUAAAAUCAUAUUCGCAAAGGUAUGUAGCGACAGCAGUGUCUAGGUUCCUCUGACCUUGAACAAAAAUAUACGAUUGUCCUAAAUGACUCAUGAAUUCACAUCACAAUUUUCAACACUGCAUGUAUGUUUUCCAACAGAAAAUUUUGUAGGAUUAGGGUUUAGUAUUAUGUUGAGUUUUUAUCGAGUAUUGAAUCAAUAAUUAGAAUUGUUUUAAAUUUUAAAUUUUUACAAUUUCUCCUAUUAAUAACUAUUGAUUCAAUAUUCAGUAAAAACUUAAUUUAGCACGUAAUCCUUAUUCGACUUUGCAACCAAAGAACACAAACAAAACUUCAUCGGUCAAUGGAAGCAUUUUCUUAGAACCUCACGGUUCACCCCCAAUGUUGAUGCACGAUGGAUGAUUCUAUCAAGAUGAAUAUAGUUCAAGUUUUACCACCCCAUCAAAUCUAUCAUGAAAUUUCAUUUAUUCUUUUUUUUUUUUGAUACAUCUUAAUAUGUACUAUGAUUGAAAAAGAGAGAGAGAGAGAAUAGUAAAAUCCAUAUCUAAAAUGGUAUGUGGUAUGUACAUAGUAGUACAUAAUCUAAAAUGAUAUGUACAUGAUAUACAUGAUAUGAUCUAAGCUCUGCUUGUGCUACCUAAAUUUUAGUGUUGAUAUAUAAUUAAAAUUUAACUACCUUUAUUUUUAAUUUAUUAAUUAUCAAUCAAUUUAAUAAAAUAUAAAACUUACUCAGAAGAAGAUUAUAUCAAGAGAGAAUCAUGAUCCAAUUAGAAGAGUAUGUAUCUUACAUUUCAUAAAGAUUUUUAAACAUCUUUCAAAAUUGUGGGUUCAUUUUAAGGUAAAAUUUCUAACUUUUUUGUGGAUGAGUUUUCAUGACUAAUUUGCAUGCAUAUAUAUCUUAAUAAUAUUAAUCAAAUUGAUACGGUGAUCCAUUUGUUUGGAUGGUUAAGAAAUCUAAGUUUCAACACAAAUAAUCAUUGGGCUACAAAUCCAACGAUAGACUGGUACUCUCAAUUUAUUCUGCUACCAGAAGAUAGGCCAUCCAUGCGUACAUUAUGAAAUGUAAUAUUUUUAUCAUAUUUAGGAGGAUAAACGUCUUAUUAUUUAAGAUAAUAGUUGUUAAUGCGUGCAUUAUGAAUACUCCAUCAUCUGGUUAUUCUAGAAAGCUCUUUGAUAGGAUUCUAUUGGUAUUUGAAAUUUUAUAUACAUCUUUCAUUGCAGUAAAGAUCUUUUUAACGUGAAUUGUGUGAAUACCAAACUCUUGACCACAUCAAGCAUGUGCAAAAUUUGUAACAGCAGUGCGCAGCACGAAAUUUUUUUUUUACGGCGGUUGUGUCUAAAUGGCGAAAAAUCUUUGUCAGAUUUAAUAUAAUCUUUAAAUUACAUUUAUUGAAAGUUACAAUUAAUAAAAAGGGAAAUAAGAUAAAGAAUAAAAACAAUAUAUGAGCGGAUCAUGUGAGGUCGGUGUCACUUUGUUUUGAGCGAUGGUAAAAUAUGUAAGUUAGGGAGACCCAAGAAAUAAAUGCAAUUCAAUCAUCGUUCUAUUCGAAUUAGAAUAGAAUUUUCAAAGUUCGCACAUUUUGAUUAAUUUUUUUUUUUCGUUUUUUUUUUUUUCUUUUUGCUUCUGACAUUGAUAGAACUCGUUGUUUUGUUUUGGUCCUUCAUGCGACGAAACUUUUGUUACGUGCACAUGUCAAAGUUUCCACAUUCAGAUUGAAUAGCUGGCGUCCACAAGAGCCAAAAACACAAAUGUGUAACACGACUAUUCUGAUAGGUUCUUCUUUAACUUGUCAUUUAAACUACAAAAAUUAAUUAAUUAAUUAACGACAAAUGAAAGGUCGGUAUACAGAGAAAGAGAGGUUGCCUCGAAUUUGUGUAACCAUCUCGUCGAACGUCCCAUGAUGUUUGUAGUAGGUGUGAACUAAAAAGAAUAAAUAAAUAAAUAAAUAAAUAAUUGAAUGUAAGCAGCUGGGAAGAUUAACUACAGUUUACAGAGAGAAAGGUACAUACCAAGUACUGGGAAGUUGGUCAUUCAUUCAUGAGGCUUCAAGUGUUCAAAAGGUCGUGCGAGUUCAUUAAUAUAUAUAUAUUUCCAGUUGGUUGGAUUAGCCUAUAUGUUAAGUACUUUCUCUUAUUUUAUUUUAUUUUAUUUUAUUUAUUAAUUAUUGACCUUUUCACACGACGAAUGUUUUUAAGAGGUUCUUGCCUUUUGUCUUUGACUUUUUCUUUUUUAAUGUUAAAUCCAUUAACUUUAAAAAAUUAAAUAGUAACGAGAGUAAGAGUCCACUUUGAUAAAAAAAUUUAAGUAAAUCUAAUUAAAAUAUCCUAAAUAUAAAAUUAAUAAUAAGCUUGUCCAAAAGAUUUGCGUAGUUAAUAGGGCGUAUGUCAGUGUCAUUUUUCUAAAUUGAAAUGUGUUGCGGGUAGCAGCCGCGGGCCACAUGAAUAGCCACUCCUGAAAGUUUUGAAGCCAUAAAAAAAGUAACAAAUAACCGAGUAAGUCGUCCACAUAAGUUGUGUUAUUUGCCACCAAAAUACAUCACGAAAAGUCUUCUCCUUUCAGUUUUUCUUUCUUUUUUUGGUUGUUGUAGUUUUUUAAUUAUUUUGAGGAGCGAGACUCAUUACAUCCCUAAAUAAGAGUAUAUUAUUACUAUUUAUCUUCAACAAAUUGUCGCGUUAGUUGAAAUUUAUUUUUAAAAAAAAUAUCGCCAAAAAUACCCGUAAAGGAACAGUGCUGGGUUGCUUUUACACAUGAACAUUUGCCCGUGACUAAUACCUAACGCUUUACACGAUCGAAGGUCAUGGUGUUUCUAGAAUCGUCGAAUAAAAGGGCAAAAAAGUGAAACUACAAAGGAAAUCGAGAACCAUUUUAAGGAAAAUGGCUUUGGUCAAUAAAGAAUGGCUGGGUCGGUGAAUUGAAUUGGAAAAUACCUCACCGAUUACGUCAGCCAAACGAAAUGGGAAGAUGCUGUUACUCGCUAUAAAAGCCCAAGGCCACCCGGCAUACAGCAUCGCAACUUGUUUGUUCAAAUACCCUGGACGUCAAACUAAGCCAACAAACACCGAUAUCAUUAAAUUCAUUCUGAAAUGGGGCAAGCACCGGAGCAAGAGCACCCUAAGAACGCCUUUGGAUGGGCUGCCAAGGACACUUCUGGCGUUCUCUCCCCCUUUCACUUCUCCAGAAGGUAUCGUUUUCUCUCUUUUCUUUCCCUUUCUCUUCAUGCCAUUUCCAAUCAAUCUUUUUAAGUCAUGUUUGUCAUACUUAAAAGUUACAACAUAUGGGCAUAUAUACUUAAAAUUUACGAUAUACAGUGUUUAAUAAAUAUUAAUCGUUGUAAUUUAAAAAGUAUAUUCAUAUGAUUUUUCAGUUGUUAUUAAAUAAAAUUAUUUAAAUAUUAUAUUUAUUACAUACUAUUAAUUCUUAUUUCAUAAUAACAAAUUUUUUUCCUCAUAAGCUUCUCAAUCACAAAUAAAACUUUAGAUUAGAUAUAUGCGUACAUUUAUUUUUACUAUGCAUGUCUGAUGUCUGGUGGUUAGAGGUUCCGCCUUUUUUCUUUUUCCUUUUUUUUCAUUUUCUUUUGUUGUUAAAUCGUCUGUUUUUGCAGAGCAACGGGAGAGAAGGAUGUGACAUUCAAAGUAACUCACUGUGGGAUAUGCCAUUCAGAUCUUCACAUGAUAAAAAAUGAAUGGGGCAAUACCAUUUACCCAAUCGUCCCCGGGUAUGUUUUUCGUUUUCUCAAAUCAUAUCUUGUUUUCAAUUUGUUCUUUUAUUUCGAAAGAAGAUGUAUAAAUAUAUAUCUGAUUUAAUAAUUUUCAAUUUUGUCAUCGUAUAUAGUACGAUGGCUGAUUUCUUAUUGUGUCCUUUCUUUUUUUCAAUAAUUUAUUAGUAAACGAAUUAAAAUAAUAUUAACAAUAAUAAAAAAAAUGAAAGCGUGUCAAUGGAGUCUGCACCAGGAAAGCAUGUGUUAAAUAAGCCACAUAAACCUCAAAAAUAAAAUGUUUCUGUACUGUCUGAUCGCUGCGCUGGACCAACGUUAUUUUUUAUUCAUCAAUUCCCUUGCUAUUAGGAAAUUAGGAAAGUAUUAAUGAAGAAAUUAAAUAUAAUUCUUUCAUUAGAAAGGAAAAAGGAAAAAAAGAAAAAAAAAAAAGGAAUUGCAGUCUCUAGAUAUACAUAGCAUAAGAAACAUUUAACUUACCAAAUGUAUCGAAUUGUAUGCGAAUGAAUAUGAGUUUUGUUGGUCCUCUGGUUUUUAUUAUUUGCGUAUUUUGUUAUGUUCAAUUUUAUUCCAUCUGAAAUUCAAGUCACUAAAUUAAAAAAAUUGAACCGGCAAACGGAAAUGCAGACAUGAGAUUGUGGGCGUAGUGACAGAGGUCGGAAGCAAAGUGAGUAAAUUCAAAGUCGGAGACAAAGUGGGAGUAGGAUGCAUGGUGGGAUCAUGCCACUCUUGUGAUAGCUGCGCCAUUGAUCUUGAGAACUACUGCCCCAAAGUUAUAAUGACCUAUGCCAACAAGUACCAUGAUGGAACCAUCACAUACGGAGGCUACUCUGACAUUAUGGUUGCCGAUGAGCACUUUGUGGUCCGUAUUCCUGAAGGCACACCACUUGACGCCACUGCCCCUCUCCUCUGUGCUGGUAUCACAGUCUACAGUCCGUUGAGAUUCUAUGGACUCGACAAGCCUGGUAUGCAUGUGGGUGUUGU
This 15360-nucleotide long non-coding RNA is filed under the name Citrus maxima (pomelo). Its description in RNAcentral is "long non-coding RNA (CMAX_LNC000062)". Lineage: Eukaryota; Viridiplantae; Streptophyta; Magnoliopsida; Sapindales; Rutaceae. The record is from RNAcentral.